UAGUUUCCGACAGAAUAUUAUGCUAAAAUUAGUAUGAUACAGAAAAGAUAAGCAUGAUCCUGCGCAAGGAUGACAUGCAAGAUCGUAAAGCGCUUUAUAUUUGU
Phlebotomus papatasi is the source of this 104-nucleotide non-coding RNA. The record is from Rfam. NCBI's taxonomy places the organism in Eukaryota, Metazoa, Arthropoda, Insecta, Diptera, Psychodidae.